GAGGAGGACCGCACGGCAGAUAAUCCCAUGCUGAGUCACUCAAGCUUCAGCAGCGGGUCCUAAGGUUUCCUGGCAGCGGGACGUGGCUGGUUGACGAUGCCCUCCUCCAGGAGAAGUCACUGAAAACCUGCCAAGUGGCUCCGGGAAGGAUCGCACUGCCUGGUGAAAGGGAAAGAAGGAAAAGAAGUGGGUCCCCCCCCCCCUUUCCCCUGCUUGAACUCGGACAGGGCUCAGAUCUCGGAGCCUGAGAAGGGCAGCGUGGGGGUGAGAGAGAAGAGUGGGGACCCACAGAGAGAGGAAGAGGCUGGAUCCUUGAAACCCUCCCUCAGAGUCGGAUGGCACCCACCGAGGGACACACGAGCAACAGAAACCGUGAGUCAUCAAGGCUUCUCCGGGUGUGAACCGUCCCAAUGACGGGGACAGGAGUGUCACGGCCCAUCCGAGGCAGGAAGUAAUUGCCCUGGUGCUGGUGGCUUUAAUAUCAGAGAGAAGAAGCCUAAGAGAAACUGAGCGGCGCAAAAGAAAGAGGGAAGUAAUACAUGUGAAUGGAGACUUCAUCCUCCCCCAAAUUUUAUUAUGAAAAUCUUAAACGGCAAAGCUGAAAGAGCUUCUCCAGUGAGCCCCUGUCCCACCACCUAGAGUCUACCAUUAACACAUGACUUCACUUGCUGGAUCAUAGUCUGUUCUGUAUCUCCCUCUCUCUCUCUCUCUCUCUGUCUCUGUCUCUGAGAAUUUUUUUGAUUAGAUGAGUACCAGCUUGCCCUGGGGACUCACUCUUUGCAGGGAAAAUGCACACCAGACUCACUUUCCAGGGAGCCACUCACUUUCCAAGCUCAUCAGCCCACAACCAAUCCAAGCCCUUCAUAUCUGACCCCCUCCCCCCACCUUGUGCUAUUGUGAUUUGUAAGAAAUAUGUAUUUGGCCUUCAUUCCUUUCCAGGCACAGAGCUCCUAAAACCCUUGGGAUUUCCUUUUUUUUUUUUUUUUUUUAACGUUUAUUUAUUAUUGAGAGACAGAG
Acinonyx jubatus (cheetah) is the source of this 1017-nucleotide long non-coding RNA. RefSeq lists it as uncharacterized. Lineage: Eukaryota; Metazoa; Chordata; Mammalia; Carnivora; Felidae. The record is from RefSeq and is a predicted model, not a curated record. The transcript is spliced from 3 exons.